RNAcentral lists this ribosomal RNA (310 nucleotides) under uncultured eukaryote. RNAcentral describes it as "partial 18S ribosomal RNA". It matches the Rfam family "Eukaryotic small subunit ribosomal RNA", at positions 1470 to 1796 of the family's 1831-position model. The record is from RNAcentral.
CCCUUAGAUGUUCUGGGCUGCACGCGUGCUACACUGAUUAUUUCAACAAGUGUUUUAACUGGAGAGUUCGCGUAAUCCUGAAAUGUUAACGUGAUGGGAGUAGAGUAUUGUAUUUGUUAAUCUUUAACGAGGAAUUCCUAGCAAGUGUAGGUUUAUAAGUUGUUCUGAUUACGUCCCUGCCCUUUGUACACACCGCCCGUCGCUCCUACCGAUUGAUUGAUCCGGUGAAUUACAUAGAAUUUUGCGUUUUACAUGACGGAAGACGAAGUGUUUUAAACCUUAUCAUUUAGAGGAAGGAGAAGUCGUAACA